GCGGGACCUGAAAGUACACUUGAAGGACAUCCCCCUCACCCAAAAGGAGCCCAGAAGCGUUGGCCCUGCCCCCAGUCUCCUCAAGGAGCGUUCCGGCGGACUCCGGCAAGCGAGGCCGACAGCCAAGACGCCCUGCCGGGGCCUCCUGAGGACAGGGGCUAGAGCGGAGCCGAGAUGCCUGAGCGCCAGCUCGCAGCCCUGGCCAUUGCCUCUGAGCAUCGCAAGGAACCCCGGCCGGGCCAGGGCCACGGAGAACCCCGCAGCCGGGUCGCGUCCCCACGCCUUACCCGCCGACCCCCGAACCUAAAGCGAACAGGGCUGACUUACCUGGGCCGUGGCUCGCACUGUAGUCUGCGACCGGUGGCUCCUCAGGGCGGCCG
Molecule: long non-coding RNA, 380 nt
Filed under: Rattus norvegicus (Norway rat)
Lineage: Eukaryota; Metazoa; Chordata; Mammalia; Rodentia; Muridae
Description: long non-coding RNA NONRATT011083
Source: RNAcentral